UGGGGAAUAUUGGACAAUGGGCGAAAGCCUGAUCCAGCAAUGCCGCGUGUGUGAAGAAGGCCUUCGGGUUGUAAAGCACUUUCAGUGAGGAAGAAAAGUUUAGAGUUAAUACCUCUAAGCCUUGACGUUACUCACAGAAGAAGCACCGGCUAACUCUGUGCCAGCAGCCGCGGUAAUACAGAGGGUGCUAGCGUUAAUCGGAAUUACUGGGCGUAAAGCGUGCGUAGGCGGAUAUUUAAGUCGAAUGUGAAAGCCCUGGGCUUAACCUGGGAACUGCAUUCGAUACUGGAUAUUCUUGAGUAUAGUAGAGGAAAGUGGAAUUCCCGGUGUAGCGGUGAAAUGCGUAGAUAUCGGGAGGAACAUCAAUGGCGAAGGCAACUUUCUGGACUAAUACUGACGCUGAGGCACGAAAGCGUGGGGAGCAAACA
Molecule: ribosomal RNA, 428 nt
Filed under: uncultured bacterium
Lineage: Bacteria
Description: bacterial SSU rRNA
Rfam family: Bacterial small subunit ribosomal RNA
Source: RNAcentral